Amphibalanus amphitrite is the source of this 1320-nucleotide long non-coding RNA. RefSeq lists it as uncharacterized. The transcript has 4 exons. Lineage: Eukaryota; Metazoa; Arthropoda; Thecostraca; Balanomorpha; Balanidae. The record is from RefSeq and is a predicted model, not a curated record.
AGAUGGUGCGCUAAGCGUUGUGAUAGAGGGCGCCAAGUAAAGCGAGGGCGCUAAACAAGCGGUGAGGAAGCUGAAACGUCAGGUGGUGACCCGAGCGACCCGACCCGAAUGAUCCUGGGGAUCAGCAGCCCCGCCGGCCUUGCAGCAGUCCGAAAUUUGAUCUGACCGGCGACUUGUUGAUUGGUUCCGUUGAACGAUGACUGAUCGAUGACAGCAUUGGUGUCGUCGUCACCUCUGGAGCAGCCAGCCGUGUAAAACAGCGCGUGCAGCCGAGCUGGUAGCAUUCAGCCAUGCACCGUGACUAAUUCUACAGCACCUCUCCAAACCGGUCUAUCCAGGAGUCAAUUUGAAAACAUACAAGCUUCAUCGUAAAUUCACACCUGAAGUUUUGACAGCGAUAAGCCGAUAGGCGCAACAGGAGCAUGACAACUAACAAGAGACUGAUAGAGCAACAACUCCGGUAUCAUCUCUCCGUCGGCCGUCCCAUGGCCCAUGGACAGUCUUGCCUGUCCGUUGGGGGACGCUCUGCCUGUCGGGGGACGCUCCGUCCGCCCGCCGCAUCUGUGUCAAGGGCUCCGACGAACCGAUGACGCCGGCUGGAUGACGCCGCGCGCCGGAUGACGCUGCCACCACCACGCCGCCACGUCGAUGCAAAUGGUGCAGCUUUCCAUGCCGGUUGGGCAAGUCUGCGGCGUCUGUGCGGGGGAGUGGCCGGUGCUGUGCCCGCUCUGGCUCUGACUGGCCUCGGGGUGGGCUCUGAUCGGCCCGGCGUACCUGGGACGCCGCCGACGAGAGAGAACCUAUCGAGCUUGUCAUCGACCAUGUCGCAUGCUCCUUAGACGGCAGUGGCCUGCAUGUUCCUGUGGCACGCUGAUUCGUAGGCUGUAGAAAUAAGUUACGCAAACGCGCGGCGUCAUGCAAUUAACUACUCUGGAUUUGAAUGCCAAGUUGAUUCAAACUGCUAAGCUGCUGUAAUGUAUCCACAUUGUAUGGAAGAUAUGUUUUACAUUCUUAUUUUUUGAUUGAAGUGUUCAUUAUUUUUAGGUAUACGGUGGAUUUCCCACGUGUCGCUUUAGUCGCUUUAGCGCUCUUUUUACGAGCCUAGUCUGAGAUAAGUGGCAGUGGCUAAGUUAUAGAGCACGAUGAAUUCGACGAGCAGGGCAUCGUGUGUUUGACAUGGCUGACUUGACUCUGAAAUCUGCCGCUCAUCCUGAUUUAUCCCGAUCAAGCGGUGAAUGCCAAUUAUUUUCAGCAGGUCAGCAUGCGUAGGCGGUAGGAACCUGACCUGACCUCAGAAAUAUACCUAAACAUGUAAGAAAA